This 253-nucleotide ribosomal RNA is filed under the name uncultured bacterium. Its description in RNAcentral is "partial 16S ribosomal RNA". It matches the Rfam family "Bacterial small subunit ribosomal RNA", at positions 524 to 776 of the family's 1533-position model. The record is from RNAcentral.
UACGGGGGGGGCAAGCGUUGUUCGGAAUUACUGGGCGUAAAGGGCUCGUAGGCGGCCAACUAAGUCAGACGUGAAAUCCCUCGGCUUAACCGGGGAACUGCGUCUGAUACUGGAUGGCUUGAGUUCGGGAGAGGGAUGCGGAAUUCCAGGUGUAGCGGUGAAAUGCGUAGAUAUCUGGAGGAACACCGGUGGCGAAGGCGGCAUCCUGGACCGACACUGACGCUGAGGAGCGAAAGCAUGGGGAGCGAACAGG